This is a non-coding RNA of Acanthosepion pharaonis, 86 nucleotides long. Lineage: Eukaryota; Metazoa; Mollusca; Cephalopoda; Sepiida; Sepiidae. The record is from the annotation of a GenBank genome assembly.
UUCACAUUGAAUCACCGAAGUUAAGCAAAGUUGAGCCUGGUCAGUACUGAGAUGGGUGACUGCUUGGGAAUACCAGGUGCUGUAAG